RNAcentral lists this ribosomal RNA (907 nucleotides) under uncultured bacterium. Its description in RNAcentral is "partial 16S ribosomal RNA". The record is from RNAcentral.
UCCUUUGAGUUUAAACCUUGCGGCCGUACUCCCCCAGGCGGUCGACUUAUCGCGUUAGCUGCGCCACUAAGAUCUCAAGGAUCCCAACGGCUAGUCGACAUCGUUUACGGCGUGGACUACCAGGGUAUCUAAUCCUGUUUGCUCCCCACGCUUUCGCACCUCAGUGUCAGUAUCAGUCCAGGUGGUCGCCUUCGCCACUGGUGUUCCUUCCUAUAUCUACGCAUUUCACCGCUACACAGGAAAUUCCACCACCCUCUACCGUACUCUAGCUCAGUAGUUUUGGAUGCAGUUCCCAGGUUGAGCCCGGGGAUUUCACAUCCAACUUGCUGAACCACCUACGCGCGCUUUACGCCCAGUAAUUCCGAUUAACGCUUGCACCCUUCGUAUUACCGCGGCUGCUGGCACGAAGUUAGCCGGUGCUUAUUCUGUUGGUAACGUCAAAACAGCAAGGUAUUAACUUACUGCCCUUCCUCCCAACUUAAAGUGCUUUACAAUCCGAAGACCUUCUUCACACACGCGGCAUGGCUGGAUCAGGCUUUCGCCCAUUGUCCAAUAUUCCCCACUGCUGCCUCCCGUAGGAGUCUGGACCGUGUCUCAGUUCCAGUGUGACUGAUCAUCCUCUCAGACCAGUUACGGAUCGUCGCCUUGGUAGGCCUUUACCCCACCAACUAGCUAAUCCGACCUAGGCUCAUCUGAUAGCGUGAGGUCCGAAGAUCCCCCACUUUCUCCCUCAGGACGUAUGCGGUAUUAGCGCCCGUUUCCGGACGUUAUCCCCCACUACCAGGCAGAUUCCUAGGCAUUACUCACCCGUCCGCCGCUGAAUCCAGGAGCAAGCUCCCUUCAUCCGCUCGACUUGCAUGUGUUAGGCCUGCCGCCAGCGUUCAAUCUGAGCCAGGAUCAAACUCUU